AGAACGAACGCUGGCGGCAGGCCUAACACAUGCAAGUCGAACGGGUGUAGCAAUACAUCAGUGGCAGACGGGUGAGUAACGCGUGGGAAUCUCCCCAGAGGUACGGAACAACUCAGGGAAACUUGAGCUAAUACCGUAUGUGCCCGAGAGGACAAAGAUUUAUCGCCUUUGGAUGAGCCCGCGUUGGAUUAGCUAGUUGGUGGGGUAACGGCCUACCAAGGCUACGAUCCAUAGCUGAUCUGAGAGGAUGAUCAGCCACACUGGGACUGAGACACGGCCCAGACUCCUACGGGAGGCAGCAGUGGGGAAUCUUGGACAAUGGGCGCAAGCCUGAUCCAGCCAUGCCGCGUGAGUGAAGAGGCCUUAGGGUUGUAAAGCUCUUUACCCGGGAAGAGUAAUGACGGUACCGGAGAAUAACGCCCCGGCAAACCUUCGUACGCCAGCAGCCGC
Molecule: ribosomal RNA, 450 nt
Filed under: uncultured soil bacterium
Lineage: Bacteria
Description: bacterial SSU rRNA
Rfam family: Bacterial small subunit ribosomal RNA
Source: RNAcentral